ACCUCCGGGCAGAAGAGGCCAAGCACAGCAGGAGCCCAACUCAGCGAAGCUCCCGCACUAGAAGUGGAAGGCGAAGAAACCCAUCGCAGGGGAAGGCCCUUGGUGCUGGAAACCAUGACAGUGAAAAACGAACUCAACAGAAAGCUCAUGCGGCCCAGUCUCAGAUUCCAGAAGACCUCUGGUUAAGACGCCCUUGAGAUGUAUCCUUGAUAACUGGAAGCUGUUCGACCCUCUAGCCCUAAGGAGAAGUCGUUUGAAAUUCUUUUGUGCUGCUGCAUGGCCCCAGUAUCCACUGGGGGACGAGGAACACUGGCCUGAGGAUGGAACUUUAAAUUACAAUAUCAUCCUGCAAUUAGAAUUAUUCUGCAAAA
Molecule: long non-coding RNA, 371 nt
Organism: Bubalus bubalis (water buffalo)
Lineage: Eukaryota; Metazoa; Chordata; Mammalia; Artiodactyla; Bovidae
Exons: 2
Source: RefSeq, a predicted model, not a curated record